UACGUGGGGACCAAGCGUUGUUCGGAUUUACUGGGCGUAAAGGGCGCGUAGGCGGCGUGGUAAGUCACUUGUGAAAUCUCUGAGCUUAACUCAGAACGGCCAAGUGAUACUGCUGUGCUAGAGUGCAGAAGGGGCAAUCGGAAUUCUUGGUGUAGCGGUGAAAUGCGUAGAUAUCAAGAGGAACACCUGAGGUGAAGACGGGUUGCUGGGCUGACACUGACGCUGAGGCGCGAAAGCCAGGGGAGCAAACGGG
Molecule: ribosomal RNA, 253 nt
Filed under: uncultured bacterium
Lineage: Bacteria
Description: partial 16S ribosomal RNA
Rfam family: Bacterial small subunit ribosomal RNA
Source: RNAcentral